This 666-nucleotide ribosomal RNA is filed under the name uncultured bacterium. RNAcentral's name for it is "bacterial SSU rRNA". It matches the Rfam family "Bacterial small subunit ribosomal RNA", at positions 8 to 669 of the family's 1533-position model. The record is from RNAcentral.
AGAGUUUGAUCCUGGCUCAGAUUGAACGCUGGCGGCAUGCUUUACACAUGCAAGUCGAACGGCAGCACGGGGGCAACCCUGGUGGCGAGUGGCGAACGGGUGAGUAAUGCAUCGGAACGUAUCCUUGAGUGGGGGAUAACGCAUCGAAAGGUGUGCUAAUACCGCAUAAGCUCUGAGGAGGAAAGCGGGGGACCGAAAGGCCUCGCGCUGAAGGAGCGGCCGAUGUCCGAUUAGCUAGUUGGUGAGGUAAAGGCUUACCAAGGCGACGAUCGGUAGCUGGUCUGAGAGGAUGAUCAGCCACACUGGGACUGAGACACGGCCCAGACUCCUACGGGAGGCAGCAGUGGGGAAUUUUGGACAAUGGGGGCAACCCUGAUCCAGCCAUGCCGCGUGAGUGAAGAAGGCCUUCGGGUUGUAAAGCUCUUUCGUUGGGAACGAAAUAGCCAGGGUGAAUAAUCCUGGUGACUGACGGUACCCAAAUAAGAAGCACCGGCUAACUACGUGCCAGCAGCCGCGGUAAUACGUAGGGUGCGAGCGUUAAUCGGAAUUACUGGGCGUAAAGCGUGCGCAGGCGGUUUGUUAAGUCAGAUGUGAAAGCCCCGGGCUUAACCUGGGAAUUGCGUUUGAUACUGGCAAGCUAGAGUCCUGUAGAGGGGGGUAGAAUUC